GUGCCAGCAGCCGCGGUAAGACGGAGGAGGCGAGCGUUGUUCGGAAUUAUUGGGCGUAAAGGGCGCGUAGGCGGAUCGGUAAGUCUGGCGUGAAAUCUCCACCGCUUAACGGGGAGAGGUCGCUGGAAACUACCGAUCUGGAGUUCGGCAGAGGACCAUGGAAUUCCAGGUGUAGCGGUGGAAUGCGUAGAUAUCUGGAAGAACACCGGUGGCGAAGGCGGUGGUCUGGGCCGAAACUGACGCUGAGGCGCGAAAGCCAGGGGAGCAAACGGGAUUAGAUACCCCCGUAGUCC
Molecule: ribosomal RNA, 293 nt
Filed under: uncultured bacterium
Lineage: Bacteria
Description: partial 16S ribosomal RNA
Rfam family: Bacterial small subunit ribosomal RNA
Source: RNAcentral